GAUGAAGAACGUAGCGAAAUGCGAUAAGUAAUGUGAAUUGCAGAAUUCAGUGAAUCAUCGAAUCUUUGAACGCACUUUGCGCCCGCUAGUAUUCUGGCGGGCAUGCCUGUCCGAGCGUCAUUUCAACCCUCAAGCCCCUCCGGGGGCCUGGCGUUGGGGAUCGGCCCCGCUCCGGCGGCCGGCCCCGAAAUGUAGUGGCGGUCUCGCCGCUGCCUCCUCUGCGUAGUAGAAACACCUCGCAUUGGGACGCGGCGGGCCCACGCCGUUAACCAGAUGAAUUUUUUCAAGGUUGACCUCGGAUCAGGUAGGAAUACCCGCUGAACUUAAGCAUAUCAAUAAGCGGAGGA
Molecule: unclassified non-coding RNA, 347 nt
Filed under: soil metagenome
Description: partial contains 5.8S ribosomal RNA, internal transcribed spacer 2, and large subunit ribosomal RNA
Rfam family: 5.8S ribosomal RNA (bases 1-120)
Source: RNAcentral